GACGAACGCUGGCGGCGUGCCUAAUACAUGCAAGUAGAACGCUGAAGGAGGAGCUUGCUUCUCUGGAUGAGUUGCGAACGGGUGAGUAACGCGUAGGUAACCUGCCUGGUAGUGGGGGAUAACUAUUGGAAACGAUAGCUAAUACCGCAUAAUAGCAGUUGUUGCAUGAUAACUGUUUGAAAGGUGCAAUUGCACCGCUACCAGAUGGACCUGCGUUGUAUUAGCUAGUUGGUGGGGUAACGGCUCACCAAGGCGACGAUACAUAGCCGACCUGAGAGGGUGGUCGGCCACACUGGGACUGAGACACGGCCCAGACUCCUACGGGAGGCAGCAGUAGGGAAUCUUCGGCAAUGGACGGAAGUCUGACCGAGCAACGCCGCGUGAGUGAAGAAGGUUUUCGGAUCGUAAAGCUCUGUUGUAAGAGAAGAACGAGUGUGAGAGUGGAAAGUUCACACUGUGACGGUAUCUUACCAGAAAGGGACGGCUAACUACGUG
Molecule: ribosomal RNA, 495 nt
Filed under: uncultured bacterium
Lineage: Bacteria
Description: partial 16S ribosomal RNA
Rfam family: Bacterial small subunit ribosomal RNA
Source: RNAcentral